GAUGAACGCUGGCGGCGUGCCUAAUACAUGCAAGUCGAGCGAACGGACGAGAAGCUUGCUUCUCUGAUGUUAGCGGCGGACGGGUGAGUAACACGUGGAUAACCUACCUAUAAGACUGGGAUAACUUCGGGAAACCGGAGCUAAUACCGGAUAAUAUUUUGAACCGCAUGGUUCAAAAGUGAAAGACGGUCUUGCUGUCACUUAUAGAUGGAUCCGCGCUGCAUUAGCUAGUUGGUAAGGUAACGGCUUACCAAGGCAACGAUGCAUAGCCGACCUGAGAGGGUGAUCGGCCACACUGGGACUGAGACACGGUCCAGACUCCUACGGGAGGCAGCAGUAGGGAAUCUUCCGCAAUGGGCGAAAGCCUGACGGAGCAACGCCGCGUGAGUGAUGAAGGUCUUCGGAUCGUAAAACUCUGUUAUUAGGGAAGAACAUAUGUGUAAGUAACUGUGCACAUCUUGACGGUACCUAAUCAGAAAGCCACGGCUAACUACGUGCCAGCAGCCGCGGUAAUACGUAGGUGGCAAGCGUUAUCCGGAAUUAUUGGGCGUAAAGCGCGCGUAGGCGGUUUUUUAAGUCUGAUGUGAAAGCCCACGGCUCAACCGUGGAGGGUCAUUGGAAACUGGAAAACUUGAGUGCAGAAGAGGAAAGUGGAAUUCCAUGUGUAGCGGUGAAAUGCGCAGAGAUAUGGAGGAACACCAGUGGCGAAGGCGACUUUCUGGUCUGUAACUGACGCUGAUGUGCGAAAGCGUGGGGAUCAAACAGGAUUAGAUACCCUGGUAGUCCACGCCGUAAACGAUGAGUGCUAAGUGUUAGGGGGUUUCCGCCCCUUAGUGCUGCAGCUAACGCAUUAAGCACUCCGCCUGGGGAGUACGACCGCAAGGUUGAAACUCAAAGGAAUUGACGGGGACCCGCACAAGCGGUGGAGCAUGUGGUUUAAUUCGAAGCAACGCGAAGAACCUUACCAAAUCUUGACAUCCUUUGACAACUCUAGAGAUAGAGCCUUCCCCUUCGGGGGACAAAGUGACAGGUGGUGCAUGGUUGUCGUCAGCUCGUGUCGUGAGAUGUUGGGUUAAGUCCCGCAACGAGCGCAACCCUUAAGCUUAGUUGCCAUCAUUAAGUUGGGCACUCUAAGUUGACUGCCGGUGACAAACCGGAGGAAGGUGGGGAUGACGUCAAAUCAUCAUGCCCCUUAUGAUUUGGGCUACACACGUGCUACAAUGGACAAUACAAAGGGCAGCGAAACCGCGAGGUCAAGCAAAUCCCAUAAAGUUGUUCUCAGUUCGGAUUGUAGUCUGCAACUCGACUACAUGAAGCUGGAAUCGCUAGUAAUCGUAGAUCAGCAUGCUACGGUGAAUACGUUCCCGGGUCU
This 1372-nucleotide ribosomal RNA is filed under the name uncultured bacterium. RNAcentral's name for it is "bacterial SSU rRNA". It matches the Rfam family "Bacterial small subunit ribosomal RNA", at positions 28 to 1381 of the family's 1533-position model. The record is from RNAcentral.